RNAcentral lists this small nucleolar RNA (89 nucleotides) under Gorilla gorilla gorilla (western lowland gorilla). Its description in RNAcentral is "Small nucleolar RNA U13". It matches the Rfam family "Small nucleolar RNA U13", at positions 15 to 104 of the family's 104-position model. Lineage: Eukaryota; Metazoa; Chordata; Mammalia; Primates; Hominidae. The record is from Rfam by way of RNAcentral.
AACCUAAACAUGACAGUUGGGUUUUCAUGCUAUUGUAUGAUACCUGCCUCCCUCAAAACUUGUUACAUCAUCACAUCACUCACCUGACA